GACGAACGCUGGCGGCGUGCUUAACACAUGCAAGUCGAACGGAAAGGCCCUUCUUUUGUGGGGUGCUCGAGUGGCGAACGGGUGAGUAACACGUUAGUAACCUGCCCUUGACUUUGGGAUAACUUCAGUAAACUGGGGCUAAUACCGGAUAGGAGCUCCUGCUGCAUGGUGGGGGUUGGAAAGUUUCGGCGGUUGGGGAGGGACUCGCGGCUUAUCAGCUUGUUGGUGGGGUAUUGGCUUACCAAGGCUUUGACGGGUAGCCGGCCUGAGAGGGUGACCGGCCACAUUAGGACUGAGAUACGGCCGAGACUCCUACGGGAGGCAGCAGUAGGGAAUAAUGCACAAUGGGCGGAAGCCGGAUGCAGGAACGCCGCGUGCGGGAGGACGGCCGUCGGGUUGUAAACCGCUUUCGCCUGUGACGAAGCGGGAGUGACGGUAAUGGGUAAAGAAGCACCGGCUAACUACGUG
Molecule: ribosomal RNA, 468 nt
Filed under: uncultured bacterium
Lineage: Bacteria
Description: partial 16S ribosomal RNA
Rfam family: Bacterial small subunit ribosomal RNA
Source: RNAcentral